Molecule: unclassified non-coding RNA, 520 nt
Filed under: uncultured Glomus
Lineage: Eukaryota; Fungi; Glomeromycota; Glomeromycetes; Glomerales; Glomeraceae
Description: SSU rRNA
Rfam family: Eukaryotic small subunit ribosomal RNA
Source: RNAcentral
CGCAGCCGCGGUAAUUCCAGCUCCAAUAGCGUAUAUUAAAGUUGUUGCAGUUAAAAAGCUCGUAGUUGAAUUUCGGGAUCAAUUAAUUGGUCGUGCCUCUGGUACGUACUGGUUUUAUUGGUUUCUCCCUUCUGACGAACCAUGAUGUCAUUAAUUUGGUGUCGUGGAGAAUCAGGACUGUUACUUUGAAAAAAUUAGAGUGUUUAAAGCAAGCUAACGCUUGAAUACAUUAGCAUGGAAUAAUGAAAUAGGACGUUUGAUCCUAUUUUGUUGGUUUCUAGGAUCGACGUAAUGAUUAAUAGGGAUAGUUGGGGGCAUUAGUAUUCAAUUGUCAGAGGUGAAAUUCUUGGAUUUAUUGAAGACUAACUACUGCGAAAGCAUUUGCCAAGGAUGUUUUCAUUAAUCAAGAACGAAAGUUAGGGGAUCGAAGACGAUCAGAUACCGUCGUAGUCUUAACCAUAAACUAUGCCGACUAGGGAUCGGAUGAUGUUAAUUUUUUAAUGACUCAUUCGGCGCCCUA